RNAcentral lists this transfer RNA (73 nucleotides) under Candidatus Woesebacteria bacterium. Its description in RNAcentral is "tRNA-Thr". It matches the Rfam family "tRNA". From Rfam's summary of the family: Transfer RNA (tRNA) molecules are approximately 80 nucleotides in length. Their secondary structure includes four short double-helical elements and three loops (D, anti-codon, and T loops). The record is from RNAcentral. Lineage: Bacteria; Candidatus Woeseibacteriota. RNAcentral also lists the same sequence under 1 other name.
GCCUGAGUAACUCAAUCGGUAGAGUAACUCUUUUGUAAAGAGUAAGUUGUGAGUUCGAGUCUCACCUCAGGCU